UUUAAAGAGAGUUUGAUCCUGGCUCAGGACGAACGCUGGCGGCGUGCCUAAUACAUGCAAGUCGAACGAACGGAGGAAGAGCUUGCUCUUCCAAAGUUAGUGGCGGACGGGUGAGUAACACGUGGGCAACCUGCCUGUAAGUUGGGGAUAACUCCGGGAAACCGGGGCUAAUACCGAAUGAUAGAAUGUGGCGCAUGCCACGCUUUUGAAAGAUGGUUUCGGCUAUCGCUUACAGAUGGGCCCGCGGUGCAUUAGCUAGUUGGUAGGGUAAUGGCCUACCAAGGCAACGAUGCAUAGCCGACCUGAGAGGGUGAUCGGCCACACUGGGACUGAGACACGGCCCAGACUCCUACGGGAGGCAGCAGUAGGGAAUCUUCCGCAAUGGACGAAAGUCUGACGGAGCAACGCCGCGUGUAUGAAGAAGGUUUUCGGAUCGUAAAGUACUGUUGUUAGAGAAGAACAAGGAUAAGAGUAACUGCUUGUCCCUUGACGGUAUCUAACCAGAAAGCCACGGCUAACUACGUGCCAGCAGCCGCGGUAAUACGUAGGUGGCAAGCGUUGUCCGGAUUUAUUGGGCGUAAAGCGCGCGCAGGCGGUCUUUUAAGUCUGAUGUGAAAGCCCCCGGCUUAACCGGGGAGGGUCAUUGGAAACUGGAAGACUGGAGUGCAGAAGAGGAGAGUG
This 681-nucleotide ribosomal RNA is filed under the name Listeria monocytogenes. RNAcentral's name for it is "bacterial SSU rRNA". It matches the Rfam family "Bacterial small subunit ribosomal RNA", at positions 1 to 663 of the family's 1533-position model. The record is from RNAcentral. Lineage: Bacteria; Bacillati; Bacillota; Bacilli; Caryophanales; Listeriaceae.